Long non-coding RNA from Oncorhynchus kisutch (coho salmon), 739 nucleotides. RefSeq lists it as uncharacterized. The record is from RefSeq and is a predicted model, not a curated record. The transcript is spliced from 3 exons. Lineage: Eukaryota; Metazoa; Chordata; Actinopteri; Salmoniformes; Salmonidae.
AGCAGGCCCCUCCUAAGACUCCUCCCCCAGGAACUCUGAGGACGACUCCCAGCAGUCAGACAAAGGAGAGGGAGAACACAGUGAGGAGCCAAAGGGCCUGUCGGAGGCAGACCACUGGAAAGGCCCAGCCCCCACCGUGGAGGAGGAGUCCAGGGAGGAGGAGUUAGACGAGUACUUUGAGGACAUGUUUCUUUGACCACCCUGCCCUUGGAUUUCUGCCAGCAAGAGUCAACAUGCAAGAGUCAACAUGCAAGAGUCAACGUGCAAGAGUCAACGUGCAAGAGUCAACGUGCAAGAGUCAACGUGCAAGAGUCAACGUGCAAGAGUCAACGUGCAAGAGUCAACAUGCAAGAGUCAACGUGCAAGAGUCAACAUGCAAGAGUCAACGUGCAAGAGUCAACAUGCAAGAGUCAACAUGCAAGAGUCAACGUGCAAGAGUCAACAUGCAAGAGUCAACGUGCAAGAGUCAACAUGCAAGAGUAGAUUUGAUUGAUUUUGUAUUAGACGUGGUUAUCUUCGUUUAAUAUUUCAGUUUGUCUGAAGCUGAAUAAAAUGCAGGUUCUUUUUUAAUCCUGAGCUUCUAAUUCAGCCUCCUGACAUUUCAUUAUAACUGAAAUGAAGACUACAAUAUGCAUGAAGUGCCAUGUAAGAACCUAGUAUCGAAGUGUAUUUAGAAAAAGCACAAUCCACUAACUCCCAAGAAAACACUAUCUGAAAAGAAAAGGACUGGAAACAUUCA